CGUCGCCUGCGGUGUUCGAUAGUGGAUCGGGUUACCUCUCGACCCUAAGUUGGAACGCCCCGGGGCACCAGGGCUUGCUGCCAGCACUGUGCAUGUCCGCCUCGAGCGGAAAGCCUUACCUGGCGUAGUCCGCCCCACUUGUUGCUCUGUGUCGAGAGCAACGGUUCACACCGGCACAGGCGGGCGACGC
Molecule: non-coding RNA, 190 nt
Filed under: Nevskiaceae bacterium
Lineage: Bacteria; Pseudomonadati; Pseudomonadota; Gammaproteobacteria; Nevskiales; Nevskiaceae
Description: 6S RNA
Rfam family: 6S / SsrS RNA
About the family: E. coli 6S RNA was the first non coding RNA to be sequenced, but its function was unknown until recently. It consists of 184 nucleotides that fold into an extended hairpin structure with a large single-stranded internal bulge.
Source: RNAcentral